Molecule: microRNA, 26 nt
Filed under: Anopheles gambiae (African malaria mosquito)
Lineage: Eukaryota; Metazoa; Arthropoda; Insecta; Diptera; Culicidae
Description: aga-miR-12415-3p
Source: miRBase by way of RNAcentral
CGAUUGUGGAACCGCGUAGGCUGCCU